This is a non-coding RNA of Trichobilharzia regenti, 46 nucleotides long. Lineage: Eukaryota; Metazoa; Platyhelminthes; Trematoda; Strigeidida; Schistosomatidae. The record is from Rfam.
GUACUUCUGAAGAGUCCCAAACUGGGACGAAACAGCUGUUCAGUAC